This 983-nucleotide small RNA is filed under the name Caenorhabditis elegans. RNAcentral's name for it is "Unclassified non-coding RNA Y60A3A.41". Lineage: Eukaryota; Metazoa; Nematoda; Chromadorea; Rhabditida; Rhabditidae. The record is from RNAcentral.
GAAAUCGCUCGCCACUCUUCACAAUUUGUGAAUCCGAGCCUCGUGUCGUCACUACUUAUCAGAAUUUCGACUCUUUACUGACACCGGAGGAUCAUGUGUCAAGGUUGGGAUAAAAAUGAGGAUUUUUUGCGGAAAAUUGGGUUUUGAGACUGAAAAAUUCGAGUUUUUCACGAUUUUUUACGUCUGAGAGAAUUUUUUUUUUCAAAAUGAACAAAGAAUGAAAAAAAAACGAAAAAAGAAUGAAAAAAAACGAAAAAAGAAUGAAAAAAGAAUAGAAGAAAUGAAAAAAAAAAAGAAAAAAGAAUGAAAAAAAAGAAAAAACAUGAAAAAAAAAGAAAAAUAGGAAAAAAUGAAAAAAGAAUAAAAAAGAUUGAAAAAAGAAUGAAAAAAAUGAUAAAAGAAUGAAAAAAGAAUGAAAAAGGAAUGAAAAAGGAAUGAAAAAAAAAGAAAAAAAAAUAUAACGAAAAAAAAACGAAAAAAGAAUGAAAAAAAAAACGAAAAAAGAAUUAAAAAAGAAUGGAAAUAAAAACGAAAAAAAAAUGAAAAAAGAAUGAAAUUUUUUUUUCUUUUUUCGUUUAUUUCUCUUUUUUUUGUUUUUUUUUUGCAUUUUUUUUCAUUCUUUUUUCAUUUUUUUUCGUUUUUUUUCCCUUUUUUUAAAAAUUUUUCUCCUUUUUUUUAACUUUGCAUCAUUUUUUCUAAUGAAAAUGAAAAAAAUAAAUAAAAUUGUAGUGAAAAAUCCGAAAUUACCAGUUUUAAAACCAAAUUUUAAGCCUAAAACGUCAAAUUUCAGUCCAAAAAUCGAAAAAAAAAUUUUAGACGUCCCUCAGAUACGUACUACGUGAACCAUGAGCACUGCUUGCGAGCCCAUACCUCGGCUCACCAGCACAAUUUAAUGCAAUCGGGUCUCGACGCGUUUUUAGUGAUUGGAGACGUCUAUCGGAGGGAUGAAGUCGAUCGGACACAUUAUCCAUGCUUCCAUCAGG